UACGUAGGGUGCGAGCGUUAAUCGGAAUUACUGGGCGUAAAGCGUGCGCAGGCGGUUUUGUAAGCCAGAUGUGAAAGCCCCGGGCUUAACCUGGGAAUGGCAUUUGGGACUGCAAGGCUUGAGUGCGGCAGAGGAGACUGGAAUUCCUGGUGUAGCAGUGAAAUGCGUAGAUAUCAGGAGGAAUACCGAUGGCGAAGGCAGGUCUCUGGGCUGACACUGACGCUCAUGCACGAAAGCGUGGUGAGCAAACAGG
This 253-nucleotide ribosomal RNA is filed under the name uncultured bacterium. Its description in RNAcentral is "partial 16S ribosomal RNA". It matches the Rfam family "Bacterial small subunit ribosomal RNA", at positions 524 to 776 of the family's 1533-position model. The record is from RNAcentral.